RNAcentral lists this small RNA (107 nucleotides) under Arabidopsis thaliana (thale cress). RNAcentral describes it as "ATSL022440". Lineage: Eukaryota; Viridiplantae; Streptophyta; Magnoliopsida; Brassicales; Brassicaceae. The record is from RNAcentral.
GUCCAAAAGCUUGAAGAUCUCAUCACUAUAUUCUUCAAUCUUGUCCUGCACGUACAUCUUUCCACCUUUCUUGUUCUUCUCCUCUCUGCUCAAUGCCUUGUCGAACC